RNAcentral lists this ribosomal RNA (557 nucleotides) under uncultured archaeon. Its description in RNAcentral is "bacterial SSU rRNA". It matches the Rfam family "Archaeal small subunit ribosomal RNA", at positions 322 to 882 of the family's 1478-position model. The record is from RNAcentral.
AUUACGGGGUGCAGGCGCGAAAACUUUACAAUGCUGGCAACAGCGAUAAGGGAACCUCGAGUGCCAGGUUACAAAUCUGGCUGUCGAGAUGCCUAAAAAGCAUUUCAUAGCAAGGGCCGGGCAAGACCGGUGCCAGCCGCCGCGGUAACACCGGCGGCUCGAGUGGUAACCGUUAUUAUUGGGUCUAAAGGGUCUGUAGCCGGCCGGAUAAGUCUCUUGAGAAAUCUGGCAGCUUAACUGUCAGGCUUUCAGGAGAUACUGUCUGGCUCGAGGCCGGGAGAGGUGAGAGGUACUUCAGGGGUAGGGGUGAAAUCUUGUAAUCCUUGAAGGACCACCAGUGGCGAAGGCGUCUCACCAGAACGGACCUGACGGCAAGGGACGAAAGCUAGGGGCACGAACCGGAUUAGAUACCCGGGUAGUCCUAGCCGUAAACGAUACUCGCUAGGUGUCGGCCACGGUGCGACCGUUGUCGGUGCCGUAGGGAAGCCGUGAAGCGAGCCACCUGGGAAGUACGGCCGCAAGGCUGAAACUUAAAGGAAUUGGCGGGGGAGCACAAU